UCCAUAGACACACAUUUAUUUAGUUAUUUAGUAUUUCUUUAUGACAAAUGCAUUUCAUUUUUCGUAAAUACACUUAAGAGUUCUUUCUGUCUUUGUGUUUGAUUUCUUGCUUGUAUUUAUCCAUGAAGCUUAUGAGGUAUGAAGGGUGAAAAGAUGUGAAGUUAAAAUCAAGCUGGAAAGAAAAAACGGCGUGGCGUGGUGACGUAACCCGAAGCACGAGCUCAAAGCCUGAGUGCAUGCUUCCCUGGUUUUGUCAGUAAUAUUGACUUGUUAACAAAACACACAUGCCAAAAGUAAUGGGCAGUGUUUAUCACCUAUAUAAGACCGGCACUGGGUAGGAAACCCAGGGGGCAGUGUUUAUCACCUAUAUAAGACCGGCACUGGGAACCCAGGGGGCAGUGUUUAUCACCUAUAUAAGACCGGCACUGGGUAGGAAACCCAGGGGACAGUGUUUAUCACCUGUAUAAGACCGGCACUGGGUAGGAAACCCAGGGGGCAGUGUUUAUCACCUAUAUAAGACCGGCACUUUGUAGGAACCCAGGGGGCAGUGUUUAUCACCUAUAUAAGACCGGCACUGGGAACCCAGGGGGCAGUGUUUAUCACCUAUAUAAGACCAGCUUGACUUUUUACUUCACAUUAAAUUAUGUUACUUCUUAUUUUCACCCCUCAUACCCCAUCAUGUUGAUUCUGCUGGGGAUCCAUUUCUGUUCAACUACCUUCUGCCUCAAGCACUCGUCUCCUGGGAUCCAAGAGUAUGCCUGUUU
Molecule: long non-coding RNA, 764 nt
Organism: Ictalurus punctatus (channel catfish)
Lineage: Eukaryota; Metazoa; Chordata; Actinopteri; Siluriformes; Ictaluridae
Source: Ensembl